GAGGUGUGCUCAGAGCAGGUGGUCUGAAGAAUGGCUCCUCUGUUUACAACACCCAACAGGAAUUUAGGAUCAUUGUUUGAAGGGGCCCAACACUUGUGACUUCCUUUUGAGCAAAUGUCCUACACAU
Molecule: small nucleolar RNA, 127 nt
Filed under: Chinchilla lanigera (long-tailed chinchilla)
Lineage: Eukaryota; Metazoa; Chordata; Mammalia; Rodentia; Chinchillidae
Description: Small nucleolar RNA SNORA11 (ENSCLAG00000020896.1)
Rfam family: Small nucleolar RNA SNORA11
About the family: U107 (SNORA11) is a member of the H/ACA class of snoRNAs that guide the sites of modification of uridines to pseudouridines. This snoRNA was identified by RT-PCR from blood cells and its expression confirmed by Northern blot analysis. There is no predicted target for this guide snRNA.
Source: Rfam by way of RNAcentral